AACGCGAAGAACCUUACCGGGGCUUGACAUCCCGCGACCAUCUAGGAGACUAGGUUUCCGGGCAACCGGACGCGGAGACAGGUGCUGCAUGGCUGUCGUCAGCUCGUGCCGUGAGGUGUUGGGUUAAGUCCCGCAACGAGCGCAACCCUUGUCGUGUGUUGGUCAGCAAUGAUCUCUCACACGAGACCGCCGGUGACAAGCCGGAGGAAGGUGGGGAUGACGUCAAGUCAGCAUGGCCCUUACGUCCCGGGCUACACACGUGCUACAAUGGAAUGGACAGCGAGUCGCGAACCCGCGAGGGCAAGCUAAUCUCUUAAACCAUUCCUCAGUUCGGAUUGGAGGCUGCAACUCGCCUCCAUGAAGUCGGAAUCGCUAGUAACCGCAGAUCAGCUACGCUGCGGUGAAUACGUUCCCGGGCCUUGUA
Molecule: ribosomal RNA, 424 nt
Filed under: uncultured bacterium
Lineage: Bacteria
Description: bacterial SSU rRNA
Rfam family: Bacterial small subunit ribosomal RNA
Source: RNAcentral